CUAAUCUUUAGCCACUAUUUCCCCUUCCCUUUUUCUCUCCCUCUUUAUCUUCUUCACUUUAUCUUCUUCAUGCACACACAUCCUUCUCGCCGCCGUCAUUGCUCAGCCAUCUCCCUUCCUUAAUGAAAUGAAAACAACCACUCACCGUCGACUUUGCUGCCUUGUUACCUAGUGGCUGGGUAGAUGAAAUUUCUUCGCUCGAUGUUGAUGUCAUGAAAUCUCGGCCAACAUCUUUGUCCUCUUUGAUGUAUGAAUGUCGCUCUUGAGAUAUAACGAUUUGAACUUUUGAUUGUGUCGUAGAAUCUUCCAUGCAUUCCACCACUUGAAUGCAACGCCUUUGAUCCUGAUUGUGAACAAGGUUUGCGUCUUCUUCCUCAUCAUAUCGUCGAUAUGGCUGUUUGGCCACUUCUCCUGAGCUUCAACCCAUGUUUCACUUCAUAGGUGACCCCCUUCUCUCCCAAUGACUUUUUACCUGUCGGAGCGUGAAUGGCUCGGGCACCAGCUCGUUGAUCCGCUUCAUCACCUUCCUUUAUAGGCUUCAUUUUUUUUGUUGAUUGUAAAUGUGCACUUCUUGUCUCAUCACAAAUACAAAUAUGAAUAUGGGUGAAUCGAAAUCGAACUGAACCGAAGAAAAUCAUAUUAUUGAAUUCGGUUCGACAUUUUCAAAAUCAAAUCCUCUGCUUUAUAAACAAAAAAAUACUGUGAACUUACACCAAGAAAAACCAUCCCACCUAAAAAAGUCUAGCAAGUUUUAGACUAAAAUUACAAAUUUGGUUGAAUUUGAGGCUAGUGAGAAGAAUUAAGAAUGUGAAAAAGGACUAGAUUUGCUUGCGCUCUGCCUGGAGCGCCGUAACCAGAUUGUUGAAGCACUCAUCUGCAUCUCCAGGUACGCUUUUGGGCAUUAAAUUCUCGGCAACAUCUGCCGAGAAGUGUAUUUCCUGUUGAUGGCAGCAGAAGUGGUGUUGUGCUAACCACGAGGUUGUUUGAGGUGGCUUCUUAUCUGGAUCCUUCGAACAGGCUUCAUGAGAUGAGCUUGUUAAAUGCAGAGCAGAGUUGGAAUUUGUUCAAGCAUAAGGUGUUUGCAGAUGAAGAAUGUCCUUCCUAUUUAGAAACUACUGGUAAGGAGAUUGCAAGAAGCUGCAAAGGAUUGCAACUUGCGAUUGUGGUGAUUGUGGGGCUUCUAUCUGAUCCACAGUCACUAGGAAUCCAUCUUCAUGGCAGGAGAUUGCAGAAAAGGUGAAAUCCAAAUCGAUGAAAUACUAUCUUUGAGCUACUUCGAAUUACCUCAAUAUUUGAGGCCAUGUUUCUUGUACAUGGCUUCAUUUCCAGAAGAUCAUCAGAUCCAUGCAAAGAAACUUAUAGAUUAUGGGUAGAUGAGGGCUUUGUGAAAAUUUCAAUAAACUCCAAGAGUUUUGAAGAGGUGGUGGAAGAGUGUUUAGAUGAACUCGUUUUCAGUGUUGGAAGUUCUUCUAAUUGAAGAUCGAAGGUUGGAGAAUUGGAUAACUGAAAGUAGCCAUUUCCCAAUACUCAAACGGCUGCUGCUUCGUUCUUGUCGUAAUCUCAAUGGGAUCACAAAUGAUAUUGGAGAAAUUCCAACUCUUGAACUCAUUGAGGUUACAUGCAAAGUGAAAAAGUCUCUAAUGGAGUCCGCUGAAUUGAUACAAGAGGAACAAGAAGUAUUGGAAAACAACAUCCUUCAAGUUGUCUGCAGUGCUGUUCUAAAGGAGUCACUUGAAUAAGAGAUUCAAGGAGAUCUAAAAGAGGAUUGGAAUGUGUAGUCAUAUUGAAGAGGUCCUCUAAAGCAAUGAAGUUUGGAACUUGUUUUGAUUUGUAGAAGUUUGUUUCGCAUGUGAGUGGAUAAUGUUUUGAAGAGUGAUAACAUUGUGUGCUUUAUCAUGCGUAUAUGUCUAUGUUUUUAUGAAGAAUGUUGAUAUUUCAUAGUUAGUUUCUU
Long non-coding RNA from Salvia miltiorrhiza (redroot sage), 1951 nucleotides. RefSeq lists it as uncharacterized. NCBI's taxonomy places the organism in Eukaryota, Viridiplantae, Streptophyta, Magnoliopsida, Lamiales, Lamiaceae. The transcript is spliced from 2 exons. The record is from RefSeq and is a predicted model, not a curated record.